Molecule: ribosomal RNA, 592 nt
Filed under: uncultured Enterobacter sp.
Lineage: Bacteria; Pseudomonadati; Pseudomonadota; Gammaproteobacteria; Enterobacterales; Enterobacteriaceae
Description: bacterial SSU rRNA
Rfam family: Bacterial small subunit ribosomal RNA
Source: RNAcentral
UGAACGGGGGGCCCGCACAAAGCGGUGGGAGCAUGUGGUUUAAUUCGAUGCAACGCGAAGAACCUUACCUACUCUUGACAUCCAGAGAACUUAGCAGAGAUGCUUUUGGUGCCUUCGGGAACUCUGAGACAGGUGCUGCAUGGCUGUCGUCAGCUCGUGUUGUGAAAUGUUGGGUUAAGUCCCGCAACGAGCGCAACCCUUAUCCUUUGUUGCCAGCGGUCCGGCCGGGAACUCAAAGGAGACUGCCAGUGAUAAACUGGAGGAAGGUGGGGAUGACGUCAAGUCAUCAUGGCCCCUACGAGUAGGGCUACACACGUGCUACAAUGGCGCAUACAAAGAGAAGCGAACUCGCGAGAGCAAGCGGACCUCAUAAAGUGCGUCGUAGUCCGGAUUGGAGUCUGCAACUCGACUCCAUGAAGUCGGAAUCGCUAGUAAUCGUAGAUCAGAAUGCUACGGUGAAUACGUUCCCGGGCCUUGUACACACCGCCCGUCACACCAUGGGAGUGGGUUGCAAAAGAAGUAGGUAGCUUAACCUUCGGGAGGGCGCUUACCACUUUGUGAUUCAUGACUGGGGUGAAGUCGUAACAAGGUA